UACGUAGGUGGCAAGCGUUAUCCGGAUUUACUGGGUGUAAAGGGAGCGUAGACGGCGAUGCAGGCCAGAUGUGAAAGCCCGGGGCUCAACCCCGGGACUGCAUUUGGAACUGUAUAGCUAGAGUGUCGGAGAGGCAGGCGGAAUUCCUAGUGUAGCGGUGAAAUGCGUAGAUAUUAGGAGGAACACCAGUGGCGAAGGCGGCCUGCUGGACGAUGACUGACGUUGAGGCUCGAAAGCGUGGGGAGCAAACAGG
Molecule: ribosomal RNA, 253 nt
Filed under: uncultured bacterium
Lineage: Bacteria
Description: partial 16S ribosomal RNA
Rfam family: Bacterial small subunit ribosomal RNA
Source: RNAcentral